Molecule: long non-coding RNA, 646 nt
Filed under: Taeniopygia guttata (zebra finch)
Lineage: Eukaryota; Metazoa; Chordata; Aves; Passeriformes; Estrildidae
Description: lncRNA (ENSTGUG00000019793.1)
Source: RNAcentral
CGCCCUACAAGUGCGGGGUGUGCGCCAAAGGGUUCGCGCACCCCUCCAACCUGCUGCAGCACCAGCGCGUGCACCGCCACACCUGAGCCACAGGUGAGGCCGGCCCCGGGUCUGCACACCUGGGCAGCGACACCUGGGCAGUGACACCUGAGCCCCAGGUGAAACGACUCGGUACCUGUGAGCCCAGACAGGUGUGGACCCCAAAAAUGGAUUUUGGACCCCAGAAAGGUGCGGUAGCAACACCUGGACUGCGACACCUGAGCUGCAGGUGAAAGGACUCAGUACCUGUGAGCCCAGACAGGUAAAUCUUCUAUGGAACCCAGAAAAGUGCAGCAGCAACACCUGGGCAGUGACACCUGAGCUGCAGGUGAAAGGACUCGGUACCUGUGAGCCCAGACAGGUGUGGACCCCAAAAAUGGAGUUUGGACCUCAAAAAGUUGCAGCAGCAACACCUGGACUGCGACACCUGAGCCCCAGGUGAAAGGACUCGGUACCUGUGGGCCCAGACAGGUGUGGACCCCAAAAUCUUCUAGAGAACCCAGAAAGGUGCAGCAGCAACACCUGGACUGCAACACCUGAGCUGCAGGUGAAAGGACUCGGUACCUGUGAGCCCGGACAGGUGUGUGGACCCCAAAAAUCUUCUAUG